UACGAUGUUCAAGUACACCUUCUUCUGUCUGUUCGUUUGCGUAAUUGUUCUGGAAGUCCUGGUUGGCGCACAGGAAGGAGGACUCGCACAGAUCGUAGGGGGAUUUGACGGUGCAUUAGACGAAAGCGCAAAAGAUGAACUUAGACGACUACAGAAAAUGAGAGACGGUACCUUAGACGAUGUUACCAAGGAUCUGGAGAAGGCCUUUGGACGUUAAGGAAGGAAGGUCAUCGCACAAUGAACAACGAAAUGAAAGUGUGUAUUCAAGAAUGGACGUUCGACGACGCCUUCAACACCAUGGAGAAUUAUACUUCGUUUACCGUCGAAGCGCUGUAAUCACCGAGGCAAUCCGCCUCAAUCGUCCAGUUAAAAUAAAUACGACGUGAGUGCUCUCGC
Long non-coding RNA from Ornithodoros turicata, 396 nucleotides. RefSeq lists it as uncharacterized. NCBI's taxonomy places the organism in Eukaryota, Metazoa, Arthropoda, Arachnida, Ixodida, Argasidae. The record is from RefSeq and is a predicted model, not a curated record. The transcript has 5 exons.